AGAGUUUGAUCCUGGCUCAGGAUGAACGCUAGCUACAGGCUUAACACAUGCAAGUCGAGGGGCAGCAUGGUCUUAGCUUGCUAAGGCCGAUGGCGACCGGCGCACGGGUGAGUAACACGUAUCCAACCUGCCGUCUACUCUUGGACAGCCUUCUGAAAGGAAGAUUAAUACAAGAUGGCAUCAUGAGUCCACAUGUUCACAUGAUUAAAGGUAUUCCGGUAGACGAUGGGGAUGCGUUCCAUUAGAUAGUAGGCGGGGUAACGGCCCACCUAGUCUUCGAUGGAUAGGGGUUCUGAGAGGAAGGUCCCCCACAUUGGAACUGAGACACGGUCCAAACUCCUACGGGAGGCAGCAGUGAGGAAUAUUGGUCAAUGGGCGAGAGCCUGAACCAGCCAAGUAGCGUGAAGGAUGACUGCCCUAUGGGUUGUAAACUUCUUUUAUAAAGGAAUAAAGUCGGGUAUGCAUACCCGUUUGCAUGUACUUUAUGAAUAAGGAUCGGCUAACUCCGUGCCAGCAGCCGCGGUAAUACGGAGGAUCCGAGCGUUAUCCGGAUUUAUUGGGUUUAAAGGGAGCGUAGAUGGAUGUUUAAGUCAGUUGUGAAAGUUUGCGGCUCAACCGUAAAAUUGCAGUUGAUACUGGAUAUCUUGAGUGCAGUUGAGGCAGGCGGAAUUCGUGGUGUAGCGGUGAAAUGCUUAGAUAUCACGAAGAACUCCGAUUGCGAAGGCAGCCUGCUAAGCUGCAACUGACAUUGAGGCUCGAAAGUGUGGGUAUCAAACAGGAUUAGAUACCCUGGUAGUCCACACGGUAAACGAUGAAUACUCGCUGUUUGCGAUACACAGUAAGCGGUACAGCGAAAGCGUUAAGUAUUCCACCUGGGGAGUACGCCGGCAACGGUGAAACUCAAAGGAAUUGACGGGGGCCCGCACAAGCGGAGGAACAUGUGGUUUAAUUCGAUGAUACGCGAGGAACCUUACCCGGGCUCAAACGACGGGGGACUACCGGUGAAAGCCGGUAUCCAGCAAUGGCCGCCGUCGAGGUGCUGCAUGGUUGUCGUCAGCUCGUGCCGUGAGGUGUCGGCUUAAGUGCCAUAACGAGCGCAACCCCUAUCGACAGUUACUAACAAGUAGUGUUGAGGACUCUGUCGAGACUGCCAGCGCAAGCUGCGAGGAAGGCGGGGAUGACGUCAAAUCAGCACGGCCCUUACGUCCGGGGCGACACACGUGUUACAAUGGCAGGAACAGAAGGCAGCAACAUAGCAAUAUGAAGCCAAUCCCCAAACCCUGCCUCAGUUCGGAUUGGAGUCUGCAACCCGACUCCAUGAAGCUGGAUUCGCUAGUAAUCGCGCAUCAGCCAUGGCGCGGUGAAUACGUUCCCGGGCCUUGUACUCACCGCCCGUCA
Molecule: ribosomal RNA, 1398 nt
Filed under: uncultured bacterium
Lineage: Bacteria
Description: 16S ribosomal RNA
Rfam family: Bacterial small subunit ribosomal RNA
Source: RNAcentral